Molecule: ribosomal RNA, 432 nt
Filed under: uncultured bacterium
Lineage: Bacteria
Description: bacterial SSU rRNA
Rfam family: Bacterial small subunit ribosomal RNA
Source: RNAcentral
GUGAACGCUGGCGGUGUGUUUAAUACAUGCAAGUCGAGCGCCCACUUCGGUGGGAGCGGCGAACGGGUGAGUAAUACGUUGGUAACUACCUCAGACUCAGGGAUACCCCACUGAAAAGUGGGUUAAUACCGGAUGGUCCCGAAAGGGUAAAGAUUUAUCGGUCUGAGAGGUGCCUGCGUCCUAUCAGCUUGUUGGUGAGGUAACGGCUCACCAAGGCUAUGACGGGUAGCUGGUCUGAGAGGAUGAUCAGCCACAGUGGGACUGAGACACGGCCCACACUCCUACGGGAGGCAGCAGUAAAGAAUCUUCCGCAAUGGGCGAAAGCCUGACGGAGCAACACCGCGUGGUUGACGAAGCCCUUCGGGGUGUAAAGACCUUUUCUGGGGGAAGAAUUCUGACGGUACCCUAGGAAUAAGCACCGGCUAACUUCGU